CCUCAGUACGGCGAGUGAAGCGGCAACAGCUCAAAUUUGAAAUCUGGCCCUCGGGUCCGAGUUGUAAUUUGUAGAGGAUGUUUUGGGUACCGCCGCGGUUUAAAUUUCUUGGAACAGAAUGUCAAAGAGGGUGAGAAUCCCGUCUGGAACUGCGGUAGGGCCUAUGUAAAACUCCUUCGACGAGUCGAGUUGUUUGGGAAUGCAGCUCAAAAUGGGUGGUAAAUUUCAUCUAAAGCUAAAUAUUGGCCAGAGACCGAUAGCGCACAAGUAGAGUGAUCGAAAGAUGAAAAGCACUUUGAAAAGAGAGUUAAACAGUAUGUGAAAUUGUUGAAAGGGAAGCGCUUGCAACCAGACUUGUGUGUGGCGGUUCCCCCUUGCUUCUGCUUGGGCUACUCCGUCAUAUCCAGGCCAACAUCGGUUCUAGGGGUCGGUUAAAGGCCCUGGGAAUGUAUCUACCUCUGGGUAGACUUAUAGCCCAGGGUGUCAUGCGGCCUCCCGGGACCGAGGAACGCGCCUCGGCGAGGAUGUUGGCGUAAUGGUUGUCAGCGACCCGUCUUGAAACACGGACCAAGGAGUCUAACAUCUAUGCGAGUGUUUGGGUGUCAAACCCGUACGCGAAAUGAAAGUGAACGGAGGUAGGAAGCCUUUAGGCUGCACUAUCGACCGAUCCUGAUAUUUAUGGAUGGAUUUGAGUAAGAGCAUAGCUGUUGGGACCCGAAAGAUGGUGAACUAUGCCUGAAUAGGGUGAAGCCAGAGGAAACUCUGGUGGAGGCUCGCAGCGGUUCUGACGUGCAAAUCGAUCGUCAAAUUUGGGUAUAGGGUAAGUUCUUAUUUUCAUUCUUUGU
The sequence is a ribosomal RNA, 845 nucleotides long. It matches the Rfam family "Eukaryotic large subunit ribosomal RNA", at positions 78 to 932 of the family's 3401-position model.